GCUGCCCCCUCCCCCACACACACACACUUCAGAUGCCAAUCACAAGUCCAGGUUGUCACCUGUGCUUCUGAUGAUUGGCUUUAAAUCAGAGGUUCCCAUGACUUCCUCCUUGGGUUUGAUUAAUUCACUAGAAUGGCUCACAGAACCCAGGAAAACAGUUUACUUACUGUUUACCAGUUUAUUAUAAAAGGAUAUGAUAAAGGAUACAGAUGAACAUCCAGAUGGAAGAGAUGCAUAAGGCAGGGUAUAUGGAAAGGGGUGUGGCGCUUCCAUGCUCUCUCCAGGUGCACCACUCUCCCAGCAUCUCCACCUGUUCACUAAAGUGGGAGCUCUCCCAGACCCCUUACAUUUGGGAUUUUUAUGGAGGCUUCCUCACAUAAGCACGAUCAACCAUUAACUCCAUUUCCAGCCUCUCUCCUCUCUCUGGAGAAUGGGGGAUGGGGCUGAGAAUUCCAAGCUUCUCAUCAUGACUUGGUCUUUCUGGUGACCAGCCCCCAUCCAGGAACCAUCCAGAAGUCACCUCAUUAAAACAAAAGACACUGCCAUCACCCAGGAAAUUCCAGGAAUUUGGGAGCUCUGUGUCAGGAACCUGGGUCAAAGACCAAAUAUUAGAAGAAAAGAUGCUCCUAGUGCUAUUAUCACAGGAAAAUACAAGGGUUUUAGGAGCUCUGUGCCAGGAACCAGUGGCAGAUACCAAUAUGUAUUUUUCUACCAUCUCACGACACACCUAUUACUUUUCUUUAAACAACCGUCUUUUAAAGAGAUUUCAAAAGUGAGAAAAAUGUAUCUGAUGUUUAACCACAGAUUUACCAUUUUUAGUGUUCUCUGUUCUUUUGUGUAGAUCCAAAUUUCUUCUACUAUCAUAUUCUGCCUGAAGAACUUCUUUUAACACUAUUUGUAGCAUAAGCCUGCUGGCAAUAUAUUCUCUCCGUUUUUAUUCACUUUAAAGAAAAGUCUAUAUUUAAUUUUCAUUUUUGAAAAAUUUUGGUAGGUUUUAGAAUUCUAGGUUGACACUUUUUUCUUUCAAUACUUGGAAGACGUCACUUCAUUGUCUUUUGGCUCUGACAAGAAGUCUGCUGUCUCUCUGAUUUUUCUUCUCUAUUUUUUGUGUGCCCCCACCCACACCUGCUUUUAAGAUUUUCUACUUAUCACUAGUUUUCAAAAAUUUGAUCACUAUAUAUCCUGGUGUGAUUUUCUUUGUAUUUCGUUUGUGGUUCAUUGGGCUUCUUGCUUUUGCGAGUUUAGAGUAUUCAUCAGAUUUAGACAUUUUUCAGCCAUUAUUUCUUCAAAUAUUUUUUCUAUCUCCUCCCCCCUUCUAGGGUUCCAGUUACAUUUAUUUUAGAUUGCUUGAUGUUGUCUUGCAACGCUGAUGUUCUCUUCAUUUUUUCCCCAGAUCUUCCCCUGUGUGUUUCAUUUUAGGUAAGUUUCUAAUGCUGUUUCUUCAAAGAUCAUGGAUACAUCUUCCUGUGGUGUCUAAGUUGCUGUUAGUCCCAUUCAGUGUAAUUUUCAUUGCAGGUGUUGCAUCAAGAAAAAUAAAGUAGGGGAGGGAGAUAGACCCCAGGUGGAUGUUUUAAAUAUGGCCAUCAGGGGAAACCUUACUGAUUAAGUGAAAUCUGAGCAAACACCUGAAGAAGAUUCAGCGGAUUCAAGUCUUCAUUAUCCUCCAAAGCUUUUUCUUCUCUCAGCACUUUUCUCUUUUCUAUUUAACCUGUUCUUUUCUGCUAAUAUAGCAUAGAUAGCUUUCUCUUGUCUUCUGUAUGUUCCUUUUUGUCUCAGAGCCUCCUUAACUAUGCUUUUACAUUUCUUUUCUAUUUGUCUCUCUCCUGUCUUCCUUUCCUUUAUUAUUGAUUCCUUUCACUGCUUAUCUUGUGGCUUCUGUAUCUACAGUGGUUUUAUUUUACUCUUUCAUUCUUUCCAAAGCUUUCACUGUUCACUCUUCAUCUCCUUUCACUUUAUAGUUGAACACUUUUACCUCCCCUUUAAUUUCUUAUUUCUAGAGACCACAUUUUCUUUAAUUUAGUUGAUAUCGAUAGGAAACAUAUUCUGUGGCACAGUCUUCAUCUGCAGCUGAGCUGACUGUCACUUACAUUCGCUCACUUGCUCCAUAAACGGACAGCCUCUUCUUGUGGAAAUGGCAGGUCCACACAGAUUAUCAUUCAGCCCCUCAUCUCCUGCCUCGCUGUGAUGUUAAGUCAGGUUUGGGACACUCCCACAGACCUAAUGAUACAAGAAAGCAAAUAUCAAUUUGGCCCUCAGCAAGGCCAGCUGCUCUGAAGAAAUCCAUGUGCUCCUCAAGAUCCGUCAAGGUCAAGGUGGAGUAAUAUGAACCAGCAGAAUAUACAGCACAGUGUGUCCUCAGCAGCUAUCCUAAAGAUCAGCAAAACUCAUUCCAGUAAGACAAGCUCAUCUGAGAAGCAAGGUCAAGCCCAGUGGUCAUCAAAGAAGGUUCCCUUAACAGAAUUGCUCCCUGCCUGGAGGUGUUUCUGCUUUGUAACUUUGCUGUGGUGGUCCCUCUGGUUGCUUACCGCAUACCCAGUCAAUCCUACCACCAACUACUGCCUCAUCUUCUUUGCUAUGGCUAUUCCUAUUUUGUUGAGGAAUCGGACAGCCAUAUUCUUCAUGGGAGGCUGGCCUCCUCCCCAGCACCAGUGGUUAAAUCUUGAUGGGGAUAAAUCAUAGUAAUUCCAUUUUCUUUGCCAGUGAUUGGUUUAGGAAUAAGCAUGUGACUCAUAAUUCUGGCCAAUGAGACUUGAGAGGAAGUCUUCGGAUGGAGUUUCUAGAAAGUUCUCCUUGCUGUUCAAAAGGAAUGCAAAGGAAGAUGUUUCUUCUUAGGCCAUUGGAUAUAAUUUUGUGAGGCUAUGAUGCUUAGAGCUGCUGUAGCCAUCUUGAGCAACCAUGAGGAAAUGUGUCUGGAGCCAAAAGCCAACAGUAAGAAUGGCAUAAUAGAAAGAUGGAAAGAAUCUGGUGAUGAACCCUAAUGAACUCGUUUAGCUGCUGAAUUAAAGAUUCAGAUACCACCUGACCUCCAAAUUUCAUUGUUGUAUGAGAUAAUAAAUAUUCUUAUUAUCUAAGCCACUUUAAGUAGAUUGUUCUUACAGUCAAAAGCAGCCUAACUACAACCUAACACAUCCUAAUACAUCUGUUAGCCAUAUAACCAGAUGUGAAAGAAUCUUGUGUUAUAUCCAGUGUCUGCUUACUCCAAAAAAAAACAUUAGUUUC
Molecule: long non-coding RNA, 3219 nt
Organism: Equus caballus (horse)
Lineage: Eukaryota; Metazoa; Chordata; Mammalia; Perissodactyla; Equidae
Source: Ensembl